CUUCUUCUUUCCUCUCUUUCUUCUCCUCUAUUAUGUUCUUCUCCAAAACACAGCAGUGUCGUUCACACAAUCUCUUUUCUUCUUUUUCUCUCCUCCUUUCUUCUUGAAUUUAGUUGUAUAAGUAUUCAAUAUUAGUUGUUUGCUUUUAUAUAGGUAUUGUUAAUUUAUUCUCUAAAACACGGUAAGUUUUCUUGUAUAUUCACAAUUUGUUGUUUAAUUUAUAUGGAUAUUGUUAAUUUGUUAAUUUCUCGUUUACUUUUACUUUUUAUUACUGUUACUUAGUUGCUUAAUUUAUAUAGGUAUUAUUAAUUACUUGUUAAACUAGUUAAAAAUAUGAACUUUUAUGUUAGAAGCACAUAUAUAAACGUAAUUUAGGCAAUAUAGGCUAUGGCACCUUGCUUCAAAAAGCCUCUUGCUUCGCCUCUCACCUAAGCCCUGUCGCCUCUCGCCUUGAUAACACUGGCUGACUAUUGUUUCUUGCUAGUAUUGAACUGAGAAAGCCUUGAUAGUAUUGUUUUAUUGCUUUUUUAAUUUCUAUUGCUUUCUAAUUUUUUUUAUGUUAGAUCAUAGAUGGAUAAUAAGAGUAAUAAAACUAAAUUUUUUACUAGCAGCAGAGGCACAUGUAAUUCAAAUUAGUAAAAAUAAUAUCAAUGAUCUUCAUUGCAUCUACUGUUUGAAAUUUUUUUUUUUUUUAGGGGGGGGGGGGGGGGAAAUUAAUAAUAU
This 723-nucleotide unclassified non-coding RNA is filed under the name Hevea brasiliensis (rubber tree). Lineage: Eukaryota; Viridiplantae; Streptophyta; Magnoliopsida; Malpighiales; Euphorbiaceae. The record is from RNAcentral.